CCUACGGGGGGCAGCAGUGGGGAAUAUUGGACAAUGGGCGAAAGCCUGAUCCAGCCAUGCCGCGUGUGUGAAGAAGGCCUUCGGGUUGUAAAGCACUUUCAGUGGGGAAGAAAGCCUUGGGGCUAAUACCCUCGAGGAAGGACAUCACCCACAGAAGAAGCACCGGCUAACUCCGUGCCAGCAGCCGCAGUAAUACGGAGGGUGCGAGCGUUAAUCGGAAUUACUGGGCGUAAAGCGCGCGUAGGCGGUCUGAUAAGCCGGUUGUGAAAGCCCCGGGCUUAACCUGGGAACGGCAUCCGGAACUGUCAGGCUAGAGUGCAGGAGAGGAAGGUAGAAUUCCCGGUGUAGCGGUGAAAUGCGUAGAGAUCGGGAGGAAUACCAGUGGCGAAGGCGGCCUUCUGGACUGACACUGACGCUGAGGUGCGAAAGCGUGGGUAGCAAACAGGAUUAGAUACCCUGGUAGUC
RNAcentral lists this ribosomal RNA (465 nucleotides) under Vreelandella stevensii. RNAcentral describes it as "partial 16S ribosomal RNA". It matches the Rfam family "Bacterial small subunit ribosomal RNA", at positions 338 to 795 of the family's 1533-position model. The record is from RNAcentral. Lineage: Bacteria; Pseudomonadati; Pseudomonadota; Gammaproteobacteria; Oceanospirillales; Halomonadaceae.